Molecule: ribosomal RNA, 497 nt
Filed under: uncultured bacterium
Lineage: Bacteria
Description: partial 16S ribosomal RNA
Rfam family: Bacterial small subunit ribosomal RNA
Source: RNAcentral
GAUGAACGCUGGCGGCGCGCCUAAUACAUGCAAGUCGAGCGAACAGACGAGGAGCUUGCUCCUCUGACGUUAGCGGCGGACGGGUGAGUAACACGUGGAUAACCUACCUAUAAGACUGGGAUAACUUCGGGAAACCGGAGCUAAUACCGGAUAACAUGUUGAACCGCAUGGUUCAACAGUGAAAGACGGUCUUGCUGUCACUUAUAGAUGGAUCCGCGCCGCAUUAGCUAGUUGGUAAGGUAACGGCUUACCAAGGCAACGAUGCGUAGCCGACCUGAGAGGGUGAUCGGCCACACUGGAACUGAGACACGGUCCAGACUCCUACGGGAGGCAGCAGUAGGGAAUCUUCCGCAAUGGGCGAAAGCCUGACGGAGCAACGCCGCGUGAGUGAUGAAGGCCUUCGGAUCGUAAAACUCUGUUAUUAGGGAAGAACAAAUGUGUAAGUAACUAUGCACGUCUUGACGGUACCUAAUCAGAAAGCCACGGCUAACUACGUG